This 2938-nucleotide ribosomal RNA is filed under the name human gut metagenome. Its description in RNAcentral is "bacterial LSU rRNA". It matches the Rfam family "Bacterial large subunit ribosomal RNA". The record is from RNAcentral.
UAAAGCAAGAAAGGGCGUAUGGGGAAUGCCUAGGCACACUCCGGCGAAGAAGGACGCAGCAAACAGCGAAAUGCGACGGUGAGCGGUAAGCACGUGAAGAGCCGUCGAUAUCCGAAUGGGGGAACCCACACGGAGUCAUAUCCGUGUAUCACAUGUCGAAUACAUAGACAUGAUGAGGCGAGACGCAGGGAACUGAAACAUCUAAGUACCUGCAGGAAGAGAAAAUAAGAAUGAUUUUCUGAGUAGCGGCGAGCGAAAGGGAAAGAGCCCAAACCGAUCUUAGGAUCGGGGUAGUAGGAUCAUCGAUAAAUCUGACAGAGGAUCAUAGAGGAAUCACAUGGGAAGGUGAGCGAGAGAGGGUGAGAGCCCCGUACUCGAAAUGAGAGACUGGAGAGAGAUGACACCUGAGUAGGGCGGGACACGAGAAAUCCUGUCUGAAUCAGCCGGGACCAUCCGGCAAGGCUAAAUACGAGAGAGUGACCGAUAGUGAACCAGUACCGUGAGGGAAAGGCGAAAAGAACCCCGGCGAGGGGAGUGAAAAAGAACCUGAAACCGUGUACGUACAAGCAGUGGGAGCCUGAAAGGGUGACUGCGUACCUUUUGUAUAAUGGGUCAGCGACUUAUAUUCUGUAGCAAGGUUAACCGAAUAGGGGAGCCGAAGGGAAACCGAGUCUUAACUGGGCGUUAAGUUGCAGGGUAUAGACCCGAAACCCGGUGAUCUAGCCAUGGGCAGGUUGAAGGUUGGGUAACACUAACUGGAGGACCGAACCGACUAAUGUUGAAAAAUUAGCGGAUGACUUGUGGCUGGGGGUGAAAGGCCAAUCAAACCGGGAGAUAGCUGGUUCUCCCCGAAAGCUAUUUAGGUAGCGCCUCGUGAAUUCAUCUCCGGGGGUAGAGCACUGUUUCGGCAAGGGGGUCAUCCCGACUUACCAACCCGAUGCAAACUGCGAAUACCGGAGAAUGUUAUCACGGGAGACACACGGCGGGUGCUAACGUCCGUCGUGAAGAGGGAAACAACCCAGACCGCCAGCUAAGGUCCCAAAGUCAUGGUUAAGUGGGAAACGAUGUGGGAAGGCCCAGACAGCCAGGAUGUUGGCUUAGAAGCAGCCAUCAUUUAAAGAAAGCGUAAUAGCUCACUGGUCGAGUCGGCCUGCGCGGAAGAUGUAACGGGGCUAAACCAUGCACCGAAGCUGCGGCAGCGACACUAUGUGUUGUUGGGUAGGGGAGCGUUCUGUAAGCCUGUGAAGGUGGCCUGUGAGGGUUGCUGGAGGUAUCAGAAGUGCGAAUGCUGACAUAAGUAACGAUAAAGCGGGUGAAAAGCCCGCUCGCCGGAAGACCAAGGGUUCCUGUCCAACGUUAAUCGGGGCAGGGUGAGUCGACCCCUAAGGCGAGGCCGAAAGGCGUAGUCGAUGGGAAACAGGUUAAUAUUCCUGUACUUGGUGUUACUGCGAAGGGGGGACGGAGAAGGCUAUGUUGGCCGGGCGACGGUUGUCCCGGUUUAAGCGUGUAGGCUGGUUUUCCAGGCAAAUCCGGAAAACCAAGGCUGAGGCGUGAUGACGAGGCACUACGGUGCUGAAGCGACAAAUGCCCUGCUUCCAGGAAAAGCCUCUAAGCAUCAGGUAACAUCAAAUCGUACCCCAAACCGACACAGGUGGUCAGGUAGAGAAUACCAAGGCGCUUGAGAGAACUCGGGUGAAGGAACUAGGCAAAAUGGUGCCGUAACUUCGGGAGAAGGCACGCUGAUAUGUAGGUGAAGCGACUUGCUCGUGGAGCUGAAAUCAGUCGAAGAUACCAGCUGGCUGCAACUGUUUAUUAAAAACACAGCACUGUGCAAACACGAAAGUGGACGUAUACGGUGUGACGCCUGCCCGGUGCCGGAAGGUUAAUUGAUGGGGUUAGCGGUAACGCGAAGCUCUUGAUCGAAGCCCCGGUAAACGGCGGCCGUAACUAUAACGGUCCUAAGGUAGCGAAAUUCCUUGUCGGGUAAGUUCCGACCUGCACGAAUGGCGUAAUGAUGGCCAGGCUGUCUCCACCCGAGACUCAGUGAAAUUGAACUCGCUGUGAAGAUGCAGUGUACCCGCGGCAAGACGGAAAGACCCCGUGAACCUUUACUAUAGCUUGACACUGAACAUUGAGCCUUGAUGUGUAGGAUAGGUGGGAGGCUUUGAAGUGUGGACGCCAGUCUGCAUGGAGCCGACCUUGAAAUACCACCCUUUAAUGUUUGAUGUUCUAACGUUGGCCCGUAAUCCGGGUUGCGGACAGUGUCUGGUGGGUAGUUUGACUGGGGCGGUCUCCUCCUAAAGAGUAACGGAGGAGCACGAAGGUUGGCUAAUCCUGGUCGGACAUCAGGAGGUUAGUGCAAUGGCAUAAGCCAGCUUGACUGCGAGCGUGACGGCGCGAGCAGGUGCGAAAGCAGGUCAUAGUGAUCCGGUGGUUCUGAAUGGAAGGGCCAUCGCUCAACGGAUAAAAGGUACUCCGGGGAUAACAGGCUGAUACCGCCCAAGAGUUCAUAUCGACGGCGGUGUUUGGCACCUCGAUGUCGGCUCAUCACAUCCUGGGGCUGAAGUAGGUCCCAAGGGUAUGGCUGUUCGCCAUUUAAAGUGGUACGCGAGCUGGGUUUAGAACGUCGUGAGACAGUUCGGUCCCUAUCUGCCGUGGGCGCUGGAGAACUGAGGGGGGCUGCUCCUAGUACGAGAGGACCGGAGUGGACGCAUCACUGGUGUUCGGGUUGUCAUGCCAAUGGCACUGCCCGGUAGCUAAAUGCGGAAGAGAUAAGUGCUGAAAGCAUCUAAGCACGAAACUUGCCCCGAGAUGAGUUCUCCCUGACUCCUUGAGGGUCCUGAAGGAACGUUGAAGACGACGACGUUGAUAGGCCGGGUGUGUAAGCGCAGCGAUGCGUUGAGCUAACCGGUACUAAUGAACCGUGAGGCUUAACCUU